RNAcentral lists this RNase P RNA (403 nucleotides) under Microcoleus sp. PH2017_02_FOX_O_A. RNAcentral's name for it is "RNase P RNA component class A". It matches the Rfam family "Bacterial RNase P class A". From Rfam's summary of the family: Ribonuclease P (RNase P) is a ubiquitous endoribonuclease, found in archaea, bacteria and eukarya as well as chloroplasts and mitochondria. Its best characterised activity is the generation of mature 5'-ends of tRNAs by cleaving the 5'-leader elements of precursor-tRNAs. Lineage: Bacteria; Bacillati; Cyanobacteriota; Cyanophyceae; Oscillatoriales; Microcoleaceae. The record is from RNAcentral.
AAAAGUAGGCGCAGGCGGUUGCGGAUUAGCGAAAGCUAGUCUGAGGAAAGUCCGGGCUCCCGAAAAACCAAACUUGCUGGGUAACGCCCAGUGCGAGCGAUCGUGAGGAUAGUGCCACAGAAAGAUACCGCCCCCCAUUUAGAGAUUGCAGAUUGGAGAUUGGAGAUUGCAUCAAAAAUCGAUCGUCAAAAAUCGCAAAGUGUUAGGGGGUAAGGGUGCAAAGGUGCGGUAAGAGCGCACCAGCAGCAUCGAGAGGUGCUGGCUAGGUAAACCCCGGUUGGGAGCAAGGUCGGAGGGACUAUGGUUGGUUUUUUACCGGUUCCGGCGUCCCAGAUAGAUAACUGCCCUCGAAAACUGCUUGCAGUUGAGAGAACAGAACCCGGCUUAUGUCCGACUUUUUCCC